This 50-nucleotide transfer RNA is filed under the name Chimonobambusa tumidissinoda. RNAcentral describes it as "partial tRNA-Leu". The record is from RNAcentral. Lineage: Eukaryota; Viridiplantae; Streptophyta; Magnoliopsida; Poales; Poaceae.
AAAUCCGCCGACUUUAUAAGUUGUGAGGGKKCAAGUCCAUCUAUCCCCAA